Molecule: transfer RNA, 106 nt
Filed under: Chloroflexota bacterium
Lineage: Bacteria; Bacillati; Chloroflexota
Description: tRNA-Cys
Source: RNAcentral
GGCGACCCGGACCCGGAAGCGCGGCUAAGGAAUUCGCGAGCCGAACCGAAAAAUAAGCGAGAGGUCUGCAAGACCUUCAUUGCGGGUUCGAUUCCCGCCGUCGCCU